CAAUAGCGUAUAUUUAAGUUGUUGCAGUUAAAAAGCUCGUAGUUGGAUUUCUGGUCGGAAGCUCCUGUCCUCUGAUGAGUGUACAAGUGCGUCCUACCAUCCUUCUGUUAACCUUUAAGGCUUUCGCGGCUUUCUAGGGGCUCAGAUAUUUUACCUUGAGAAAAUUAGAGUGUUUCAGGCAGGCUAGCGCCGGAAUACAUUAGCAUGGAAUAAUGGAAUAGGACUUUUGCCUCUUCUGUUGGUCAUGAGGCUCGAGUAAUGAUUAAUAGGGAUAGUUGGGGGCAUUAGUACUUAACUGUCAGAGGUGAAAUUCUUGGAUUUGUUAAAGACGAACUAGUGCGAAAGCAUUAACCAAGGAUGUUUUCAUUGA
Molecule: ribosomal RNA, 370 nt
Filed under: uncultured eukaryote
Lineage: Eukaryota
Description: partial 18S ribosomal RNA
Rfam family: Eukaryotic small subunit ribosomal RNA
Source: RNAcentral